AUAUAUAUAUAUAUAUAUAUAUAUAUAUAUAUAUAUAUAUAUAAACGCACAGUAUUUUCAUGACCAUAAGGCGCAUGUUAUUGAAAAGUAGUCUCAGUUGCAGGUGUAAUUUCAGUAUUUAACAUAUACACAAGGCGCACCGUAUUAUUGGGCACAGGCAUGGUGGUGCUGACAAGACAGUGAGGCACAAUUAUAGAGCUUGUGAACGUGACGUCGCAGUUUGCACGGUCCCAUAUUGCCGGUCAAACCUUGCUGCUCGGUAAUGCGGAAGUCGUUGAACCAGAGCAUUCUAUAGAACACCAGCUGAAAAGGCCAGAAAAGAUCAAUUGAUUUCAGCAAUUAAAAGGGAUGGAUGGUGCCCAAUGAAAUACACAUGCCUGUGUAGCGAUCAUGUUAUUUCUGGUCAGAAUUAGUCUUUUCAAUCUCAAAUUAUCAAUAAAUAUUUAUAAUGCCAAGUUGACUCAUUGGAGAACAAUGCGUAUAAAAAACAAUAAUAAACCAUUUGUCACAGAGAAGUUUAUGGAGGUAAGCGUGUGGCAGCAAUACGCUUCCAUGUACAGAGGAGACGACUCGCUGUCCUAAAUUUGUUUUCCAAUCAUAGUUAAUGAAUGUGAUUUUGUGGAAAACCAAGGGUCAUUUCUUUAAAAAUUGGUAUUUGGACUGAAAAAAAAAAGUGGGUCAAUCACCAUGUGGGAUUUAUUUGUGAUUGAGAACAGAUUUAGCAACUAAGUAUUUCUCUGCAUCCAGAUUUUUGUAAGCUUUCAAACUCUUCUGUGUGAAUCGCGACGACUUAUUCACCAGAUACAUGCGUAUAUCCAGUUGUCGAAGACAGGGUAGCGAACAGUCAAAUUUCUUAUCAGCGAAAACAUCAACUUGACAUUAAAUAUGGAUCCUCUAUUCAAAGUUUCUCUAAUUUUUCCAUAUACCUUCAUUUAUUAUCACCUUCUAAAUGUUUAAUGGUAUUGGACAAAACUCUUUGUGUCGUGUUAUAAACAGUGUUGGGCACGAUACUUUGAAAUAGUUACUAGUUACUUCCACAAAAGUAACCGAGUUACUAAUUUAGUUACUCCACAGUAAAAGUAACUAUUGACACAAAAAAGUAACUAGCGCGUCCCCCCCAGAUACCUGCACAGAUUUGAAUUUAUUGCAACUCAUGUUUACAUUGAAGUGAACAUGUUAAUGGAUUUGUUAAAUCCAACUCUUAAAGAUAUAAUCCAGAGGACCUAUAUUUUAUUUUUGUAUCACACAAACAUGGCAAAUUUUUCAAAAAAAAUAUUUUCAAAAUUCUCAACACAAUAGCUAAGAAAUAAAUUAGCGCCAAAGUGCAAAUUUUUUUGUAAUCUCAAUGCCUCCGAUGGCUGUUUCAAGAAGAAGCAGAAGCUGCUUCCGUGUGACGUCACGUCGAGACAACCCCAGUAAAGACAAUGGCUUCCUAUAGACUGUUUUUGACCACGUGACCUUUGUUUACAAUCGCGGCCAUUUUGGUUGGGCUCACUAUCGUUUUUGCAUGCAGACUGGAGUUACUCACAUCUUCAUACGACUGUUAAAAGUGAUGCGUAAUUGCUAAAAAGAAAAGAAAGUUACUGGUGCUCAUUAGAUGUUUCAAGAAACUGUUACGACAAGAAGUGUGCUUUGCCCGACGAAAUCGACCCGUAUUCCUUGAAACACAAAUGGAGCAAUAAUUUUGAACUGUGGGCAUCGGUAACCUAUCCAGACAUCGUCAACUAUCGCCUCUUUUUGAGAAGCGCUUAGACCAUGGACCAUCUAAAGAAUUACAAAGGUCUGGAGGCCGACAACAAAUUCAUCAAUGGCUGGGUUUGUGAUGCGGCGGCAUCCAUUGUGAGACACUUGUGUCUUACACUGCGAAGGUUGGUGUAGUGCACAAUGCAAUUUAAAUAUGUAGGCUGAGGCUACUUAAUUUAUGAGUGAAUGCUGUCGAAAAUAUUCAUUCGCGUGAUUACAGUCAGCGUUGUGUUAAAUUAAAAUAACCCUAAACUAACCCGAAAUUUCUUAUACCAACGAAAGAGGUGUAGAUUAUUUUUGUUUGUUACCAAGAGAGGUUCGACUGGGACGCGUCCCAAGUGGAGCCCGCACAUGUUAAUGGACUGCUUUGUGGAAGAGAUAGCAACUGAAGAGGAGAAAUUUUCUAAUUCUUCAUGUUAGAAAAACAUCCCAUGCAGGUGUAAUUAAACCAUAUAUGUUCGAACCUGAGUUUACGAAUGCAACACAAGGACAGGAUUCGGCGACACCUGACAAAGUUGAUGUGGAACUUCGCACCUAAAACACAGACUGGCAGGUGCCUCAAGAAAUCUACAUUCACCUUGUUGAUGAAAUAAUCUAAUAAUCUAAACCUCCGAUAUCGUUCUGUGUUUAAAGAUCACGUUUGUAGCCAAUUCUUUGUGUUAUUUACAUGCAUUUAGCCCAUAUUUUAAAUAAUGCACCUCACACUUGAGGGCACACACUGCUGUAGUUGAAUUUCAGGAAGACCUCAGCGCCAAGAGUACACUAACUUUAUACAGUGUCCAAAUUUCAUCUGCUCCUAAACAACACAUGGAUACGGAUAUUAGCUGACAUAUAUAUCUGUAUCGGUAUUGUACUUACAUUUAAAACGAGGUAGAUAACUGUCAAUACUAAAAAAUUUAACACGUACAUACUUGUACCGAACCCAAGUGAACACUGUACUGGGUUUUCAAAGCAGUCCUCCGUGAAAUGCUUGGAACAUAUUACUGUCGACUUUUAUUUGUAAGUCCAAUGCGCCAGCUUUGUCUUUACAAACCUGGCCCAUAACCUGCCUAUCUGUUCAUCUUUCGGCCAAUCAUGUAAGCUGAGUCGGUCAGUGUUUGACGCAGAACAGCCCUAUACAACACAUUUCCUCACCAUCUGUGCUAGCUUUUUCACUCUAUGGCUAAAUGUUGUCGUGACUUGACGUCACAUUCCGGAGAGUACCGGAACUCGCCGAAUCUAAGUGACAUUUCGAACAAAAUCUGGAGACUGAUUUUCAUGCUAAUUUAUUUAAUUUCUGUUGUGUUGAGAAUUUUUGAAUUAUUUUAAUGAAAUUUUAGCUACAUUUGUAUGAUAGACAAAUAAAAUAAAUUUCCUCUGGAUUAGUAAUUUAACAGCAGCCGCGGAUUCAAUUUCAGAAUAAAGUCACCACCACAAAUCACAAUUCCUUGAGCUUUUUUAAUCAUUAAAUCACAGAUUUGUUGGUACAAUUCCCAUGUUGCAGCUGGGGGUGCAUAAACAUUUAUGAGUGACAUCUGUCCCUUACAACCUCCCCACAACCAUAUUAUAGCUUUCUUCCCAAUCUGAGAUUUCUGAUAUCGUUUCAAAAAUCACCCUUUUCGAUGUAAGUGUUGCGAUUCCCCCCCCCCCCCCCCCCCGGUUUGUAUCCUGUUUUAUAUGAUAAUGAAUAGACCUGUUAAAAGCCCUGUCGAAUAAGUUUAGGGUGCUAUGUAUCUGUUAAAGGUAAAGGCUAAUCCAGAGGACCUAUAUUUUAUUUAUAUAUCACAAAAACAUAGGUAAUUUUUCAUAAAUAUUUGAAAAAUUCUCAACGCAAAAGAAAUCAAAUAAAUUCGCGCCAAAGUGCAAUUUUUUUUUGUAAUUCGAAUGCCUCCGAUGUCUGUUUCAAACAGAGGCUGAAACUGCUGCUGUGUGACGUCACGCCUAAACAACCACAGUAAAGAAAAUAAAUGGCUUCCUAUUUAUCCAAUCAAUCAGGCUGCGAGUGGGAUCUAAAGGAGAUAGACAGCAGUGAUGAAGAAGUCUUAAUGGAAUGCUCCGUGGAAGAGAUGGCAACUGAAGAGGAGGAAUUUUCUUAUUCUUCCCGUGUUCGAAAAACAACCCAUGCAGGUGUAAUUCAACCAUAUAUGUUCGAACCGGAGUUGAAGAAUGUAACAAGGACAGGAUUCGGCAAGACCUAACGAAGUUGACGUGGAACUUCACACCCAAAACACAGACUGUUCAGUUUCACAACAAAGAGGCCAUAUCCCAGUGUCUCCAUGAUUGGGAGGAGACCGGUUGCUAUAAUCAGCAGUUGUUGAUGGUGUUGCACAUCGCUGCAGUGUCCGAAGGUCGGAGGUCACCAGCACUUAACCUUCGUGGAAACACUGUCGGGGGAGGGUACCCGGUUGCCAGGUCCCCAACCAGCCAGUGUUUCGCCUGGGAUAGGAUGGAGGAGACCCAGUUAAAUGUUCUCAGCAACAGUUUGUUGGGAGACAGAGUGGGAGAAGCAGAGAUUCAGGUGAGUUAUCCCCUUUACAGUCCAUCCGUGCAUAGAGUUUUUGGUAAUAUUUUUUAAAGGUUUUAUUAAUAUCCUGAAGUUUGUAUUUCAUUUCUUUUUAAUUAGGUCUUUAAUUUUGUAUAUUUCCCUUUCUACUUGUUGUUUUCUGAUCCUAUAUGCCAAAAUUUUGGCUGCUUUACUACCUACUUCGUAAUUCUAGUUUAUUCAGUUUUUGUUGUUUGAACUUCUUGUUAAGUGCCAGUUUAGCAAUGAUCUUCCCUCUCAAGACAGUUUAUCUGCAUCCUAAAUCAUGAGAGGGGAGACUUCCCGAUUAUCAUUCUCUGACAGGUAUAAUUUGAUGUCUUCCCAGAGUUCUUCUUUCAUGUUUCCUUUAAAUACAUUAAAAUUAAGCUUCCAAGAAAAAAGGUUUUUACUGUUUUUUAAAUUUAAGUCCAAAUAGGGUUGUGGUCUGAAAGUAACACAAAUCUUAUAGUGAUGGUGAUUUUUUUUUUUUUUAAUUGUAAUUUUCUAUUUAAUAUUUUUCCCCCGAUCGCCAUCACCUAGCCUCUUUACCAUAAGCAAUUCUUUAUCCCAGUAAAAUAAAAUUUACCGGUCAGUCCGUCUGAAGAUGUUCAGCUUCUUUUUAAAACCUCUGUGGCUUCUCGGCUUGUGGCGUCCGUUCUCUCAGGAUUUGAGGUCUGCUCCACAUCAAGUUGUUGACUGUCAGCCCAACUUACCGGAGGUUGAUAUAUCGCCACAGACAUACCUCUCCUUCACCAUGUCUUUCGUAGCCUCCUCUGCUGAGUUGUACGCGCAUGUUUCUCCCCCGUCGAACACCCUCAUUCUUGUUGGGAAAGGAGUUUGGAACUGGAUAUUGUUCUCCUGAAGCACCCUCCUCACCCUCUGCGUACUCCCAGCGCUUCCUGAGAAUCUCCGGUGCAUAAUCAUGGCCCACGAACACUUUUGUACCUUGAUGUAAAAGUCUUCUUUUUCAUCACACUUGUUUCAAGAUUUCCCAUUUAGUUUUGCUGCUUGAGAAUUUCACGACAAUAGAUCUCGGUGGUGCAUCUGGCGGGGGUUUUGGUCACGGCGCGUGGUGAGCGCGUUCGAUCCUCAUAUCUCUGGGUUGUGGCAAAUGCAAGUGUUCUUUCAAAAGAUUCUCCACCAACAUCAUUGUCGAUCAAGAAUUGUUCUCCGACCCCUCUGCUACGCCAUGAAUUCUUAUAUUUUGCCGUCUUGCUCUUCCCUCUUGUCAAUUAGUUUGUCUUGCAACUUAAACUGUGACUUUAGCAGCUCCCUCAUAGCUUCCUCGAGUCCUUGCACUCGUUCCUCUGGAGUUGUGAUUCUCUCUUCGGCUUCAGUUGUUUGUGACCUUAAUGUCCUCUUGUAUUCGCCAUAGAGUUUCCGCACUUUCGUGCCAAAACUCUUAGUUCUUGCAGUAUGAUUAGCAAGUUAGCCACACCUCCAUGUCUUUGUAGCAUUAGCUCCUCCGGCUCCGAGAGACUAGCAUUUGCUACAUCGUCAUUGACUGAUUCUUCCUCAGCUUCUGUCAUCUGUGGGACAACUUUCUUCUUUCGUUUGGGCAUAAUAUAAGCGCCUCUUUGUCUUCUUUAAUUCACGUGUGGAGUUAAAAUUCAAAGUAUAUGCCGUUUGUAAACCAAAACUUAAAACAGGACAGGGAGCUCUGUUAUUUUGCGGUCUACAGCACAGCUGCUCACCUGGAAGUCCUAACACUUUUGUUUUUGCUCAGAUUUUUCAUCCAUUAUUGCUUGUUUAAAGCCCGGGUGUCAUCCCGAUAAACAUUCUAAAAUAGAUAUUGUAAUGAAAAAUACAUAUAACACGAUUCACUUCAAUGUCUAUACGAAGAAAAAAAGUGAGCGGAGAGCGCAUCAUCCAGGCACAAAGUUGCGCAAUUGAGUGUCCCUCAACAUCCAAGUGGUCGCCAUAUUAGUUGCGUCAUCUGUCCUUGACGUCAUGGUCACUUCCGCCGUUGAAAACACGCAGUGCCUGCUACUACGGAAGCCGAACAACAGAGAUAUUUGCAUUUUUCCGACACCCCCUCUGACACCGAAGUUCUUUUCAAAAAGGACAACACCACACAACGGAGUGAAGUUACCGGGGCAAUAUUGCAUUAUUGUUUCGAGCCCUCAGGGCAUUAUUACACUAUUGUUUCGAGCCAUAUUCAGAUGAUAUCCGAUCCACUCCCGCGACCGAGAUGAGCCAUCGCGGCUCAUCGCAGCCGGCCGGUGUGGCUUAUGACAGAGCCGAGUGGUGCUGCUUUUGUCACAGUCGAGCCGGGGCGCUUUAUGCGAGCACGCGAUUGAGUCACGCAUUCUCGGCUGGGUUCUUCAGAGCCGCCCCCGUCGCAAAGCCCGACGUGCAGCCUUUGCAGAAGCUGUGACCGCCGAACGGGGUGCCUCAGCCAAUGUGGCUGAGUUUCGGAGCCCGUGGUGGCAUAUAAGGAGGAGGUGGUGUCAUGAUCCUGCCGCUCCAGCACGAGCUGUGCGGGUGUCCGCGCAGGUGCGCUGAUUGGAAGGUGCACACCUGCGCCUCAUGCAGCCUGAUUAUGCUGUGGAUUUAUAUGACCGCGAUGACAACUGGUCGGGGCCAGUUCGUAUGAUCUUCAUGUUCCAUUCGUGUGCUCCGGUAUCCCUGAUUGAACCUGUGUGUACCGACCUUUGUCCAUUCUCCGACCAACCUUGUAAGCCUGACUCCUUUGAUACUUCUGCCUGCAUUGAUUGUUCUCCCAUGUACCGACUCCUGCCUGUCCGCUCAUCUGCACUGGACUGCCUGCUCGAUCCCCUACCUCUGCAUAUAAUAAACCUGUCUCUUUUUGAACUACCUUGUGUCUUCCGAGUUCCUGCAUUUGGGUCCUACUCUCGUUUCCGAUGGGACGUGACAGGUGGAGCCUAGCUAUGUUGCUUUUAGGGGUAUGUUCAAAGUCGCCGCAGUACUCGAUGAACACUAUCGAGACAUUGUUGGCUGGGCGACGCGCACAUCGACAAAUUUCAUACGCAGAUCUUUUGUUACGUUAUGAGAGAGACCGAUUAUGUGGUCCGCCCCACACUAUUAUUUUUUUUAGUACCUGUAUGCGCACAUCUACACAUUUCAUACGCGGAUCUUUUGCUACGUUAUGAGAGAGACCAAUUACAUGGUCCGCCUCAAACUAUUUUUUUGGGGGGGAGCUGUAUACACACCUACUUGUUAUUUGGAACCCACAAAGCUCUCGUCCUCUGCACCCGUGCAAUCCAUUUUUCACAACGAACAGGGUCUCUUUCAAAUUUAUGAAGGGUAAUUCCAUUCUCCCGAGUGUUCAAGCAAAGUCCAGCAAUGCAAUGAGCCGGCAUUUUGGCUAGCACGAAGGAACAACGAGCUACCUUUCCGGAGGUAAAACUAAUGGAAACAAACGAGUCCACUAGGGGGCGCCUCUGUCCUGUACCUCACUUUGUGCUUCUUUUCAAAAACAAAUCCCUUGAGAGGAUUUUCAUGGCGGGAAUUACAAAAAGCUGUACACGUCAAAAUCAUGUUUUGUGGUGAAAAAACACAUGGGACCAUAUUGGCUGUGGGGUUUUCAUUAAUAACAUACCAAAAAUCAUGCGUUUGACGACACUUGCACUUUAAAGUUAUUCAGCACUUUUGUUAAUAAAAAAAAAACGUUUAUGGGUGCCGAGUCACCACAGAUAUGGCAAUGCACUCCCAGCCUAGCCUACUCUACUACUAAAGCAUAUAUUUUAAGCAAAAAAAAAAAAUCUAUUUCUUAAAUUAUUUAAUUAUAUAAAGUAUUUAAACAAUAGAUGUAUUUCUACUACGCUGUUUACUAUCAGGAAAAGCUAAAACAAAAGGCUUUAAAAAAGCCAAUUUUUUUAGUCUUGGAAUGCAUUUCUUUUUUCAUUAAUUCUAAUGGAAAUUGAUUCAGAUUUCUAACAAAUCAGGUUACGAACCGCCUUCUGGAAUGGAUUGUGGUCGAGAACAGAGUUUGUACUAUAUAACAGUGGUCUGGAGAGUUAUUUUCCCUCAUUGGACAUUUUAGAAGCUUAUGUUAAGGGAGUUCGUGGUUAAGUUUAGCUGUGUUAAAAUCUCCAAGGAUAAUGACCAGUGAAUCUGGAUGUUCUCAAUCUUGUUUACCUGCUCGGUAAGGGUUAGCAGUGCUGCGUUCAUGCUACCUUGGGGUGGAAUCUGAACACCUACGAGAAUGAAAGUGGGGAAUUCAUGUGGCGAGUAAAAUGGCUUUCACUUCAAGAACGAAUCCAAACGCUGGCUGCAUUUCUCAUUGACAUAGAAGCAAAUUCCAUCGCCUGGAGUUCAUCCAUUUUGUUGGCUGGGGACCAUAGAUUUGUGAGAUGAAUCGAUGUAAGUGCCAGUUGGUGUCCCCCCUUUCGUUGUUGAACUUGUGUACCGACUCACAAGUCUCUGCAACGCUUUGUAGCUACCCAGAGAUAAGAAAUGGAUAUACCAUACCAAAAGAUGCAAACCACUCCUCAGCAAAAACAAUCAUGAGCCAGAUUGGAUAUAUAAAAGCCAAAAAAGUUUGGGAACAAAGUUUUAUGGACUCAUGAGACCAAGAUUAACCUCUCACAAAGUGAUGAAAAGGCCAAAGUAUGGAGAAAGAAAGGAUUCACUUACGAUCCAAAAAACAUGAGGUCCUCUGUGCAACAUAGCGGAGGUUAUGACAUGGUUUGGGCUUACAUGACUGCUUUUGGAAUGGGCUCACUAGACUUUGUUGACAAUGUACGCAUUACUGUAGCAGCAGAAUGAAUUCCAAAGUCUACCAAACCAUUUUAUUAUGUAAUUUACAGAAAAAUGCAUUCCAACUAUGUCAGGAAAAAGUAGGUAGUCUUAAGACUGACCAAGUCCAUCAUCAAAGUUUAAAACAGAGAAAGCAUUUUACUUUCUGAAAAGAUGACAGAAGGGAGAAAUCUCCAGAAAAAAAAACAACCUGCAGUUAAGGCCAGGAAAAGAAUUUCAAUUAAAGAAUGAAAAUCUGGUGAAGUCAGCAGCUCACUGGUUUGAUGCAAAUAUUCAUGUAACAAUGACACCAAAUAUUGAAUUAUUUUAAGUUAAUUUAAUGUCUGUUCCUUUGCUCACUUAAAAAGUGUGUGGCUUCAAACAAAAGGUGCUCUGUCCUGAGUUCAUUAAGAGCUGAAAUUCUGACCUCUGGGCAAUGAAUCUUUUAAUCUGAAACCUAAAUGUCUUCAGUGUACAAAAA
This is a long non-coding RNA of Syngnathoides biaculeatus (alligator pipefish), 9425 nucleotides long. RefSeq lists it as uncharacterized. The record is from RefSeq and is a predicted model, not a curated record. The transcript is spliced from 3 exons. NCBI's taxonomy places the organism in Eukaryota, Metazoa, Chordata, Actinopteri, Syngnathiformes, Syngnathidae.